CCUGACUGCUAUCGGGGUGGGUAGCCAUGCGAGUCUGCGUCACGGGCAACGUGACGCGGCGCACGGCUCAGUAAAACAUGCUCAAACUGCCCUACAGACCGGGAUAACCUCUGGAAACGGAGGAUAAUCCCGGAUAGGUAAGAACUCUUGGAAUAGGUUCUUACCGAAAGGGUGCGGCGCUGAUGCCGCAUCGCACCGCUGUAGGAUGUGAGCAUGGCCUAUCAGGUUGAUGGUGAGGUAACGGCUCACCAUGCCUAAGACGGGUACGGGCCGUGAUAGCGGGAGCCCGGAGAUGGGUUCUGAGACAAGAACCCAGGCCCUACGGGGCGCAGCAGGCGCGAAACUUCUGCAAUGCGCGAAAGCGCGACAGAGUCACCCCGAGUGCCAUCCGCUGAGGAUGGCUUUUGCCCUGUGUAAAAAGCAGGGCGAAUAAGCGGGGGGCAAGUUCUGGUGUCAGCCGCCGCGGUAAUACCAGCCCCGCGAGUGGUCAGGACGAUUAUUAAGCCUAAAGCGUCCGUAGCCGGCCUUGUAAGUUCUCCCUUAAAUGGUAUGGCUCAACCAUACCGUUGGGGAGAAUACUGCAAGGCUAGGGGGCGGGAGAGGCGGGUGGUACUUUGAGGGGUAGUGGCAAAAUACGAUAAUCCCUCAAGGACCACCAGUGGCGGAGGCGACCCGCUAGAACGCGCCCACGGUGAGGAACAAAGCUGGGGGGAGCAAAAGGGAUUAAAGACCCCUGUAGUCCCAGCUGUAAACUAUGCCGGGCUAAAUGGUUGGGGUGAGGUUAUCCUC
RNAcentral lists this ribosomal RNA (789 nucleotides) under uncultured archaeon. RNAcentral describes it as "bacterial SSU rRNA". It matches the Rfam family "Archaeal small subunit ribosomal RNA", at positions 21 to 793 of the family's 1478-position model. The record is from RNAcentral.